Molecule: ribosomal RNA, 447 nt
Filed under: uncultured fungus
Lineage: Eukaryota; Fungi
Description: eukaryotic LSU rRNA
Rfam family: 5.8S ribosomal RNA (bases 140-293)
Source: RNAcentral
GGAAAGUAAACGCGGAUCAAACCGCGACUUCUAAAACCUUUGACGAUUGACUUAUGUUGCCUCGGCGGGUUCUCCCGCCAGAGGAUAUAUCAAAACUCCUGUUUUAACGGUGCUGUCUGAGCUACAAGCAACGAAUCAAAACUUUCAACAACGGAUCUCUUGGUUCUGGCAUCGAUGAAGAACGCAGCGAAAUGCGAUAAGUAGUGUGAAUUGCAGAAUUCAGUGAAUCAUCGAAUCUUUGAACGCACAUUGCGCCCCUUGGUAUCCCGAGGGGCAUGCCUGUUCGAGCGUCAUUUCACCACUCAAGCCUGGCUUGGUGUUGGGCGACGUCCCCUAGGGACGCGCCUCGAAACGCUCGGCGGCGUGGCACCGGCUUUAAGCGUAGCAGAAUCUUUCGCUUUGAAAGUCGGGGCCCCGUCUACCGGAAGACCUACUCGCAAGGUGACC